GGAGUAAUGCCAUUUUACUGGUUGUGGAACACCGAACAAACAAAGAAGCACGAUCAGUAACAUCAAGGAAAUGAGAAGUAGAGGUAUUGACCAUUGCUUCAUCCUUUUAACUGGAGCUAUGUUUAUCAACCGUCUGCUGAUGCCCCGAGCAUGGAUAUUCUUCUUAUUGGCUUCAUGCAGUUCAAGUGUCUCUACUCCACGGGGUACUUUUUCCGUUUGUAGUUUUAGUCUUCGAUUUGC
Molecule: unclassified non-coding RNA, 240 nt
Filed under: Hevea brasiliensis (rubber tree)
Lineage: Eukaryota; Viridiplantae; Streptophyta; Magnoliopsida; Malpighiales; Euphorbiaceae
Source: RNAcentral